GAUGAACGCUGGCGGCGUGCCUAACACAUGCAAGUCGAGCGAAGCGCUUAAAUUAGAUUUCUUCGGAAUGACGAUUUUUGUGACUGAGCGGCGGACGGGUGAGUAACGCGUGGGUAACCUGCCUCAUACAGGGGGAUAACAGUUAGAAAUGACUGCUAAUACCGCAUAAGACCCCAGCUUCGCAUGAAGCGGUGGUAAAAACUCCGGUGGUAUGAGAUGGAGCCGCGUCUGAUUAGCUAGUUGGUAAGGUAACGGCUUACCAAGGCGACGAUCAGUAGCCGACCUGAGAGGGUGACCGGCCACAUUGGGACUGAGACACGGCCCAGACUCCUACGGGAGGCAGCAGUGGGGAAUAUUGCACAAUGGGGGAAACCCUGAUGCAGCGACGCCGCGUGAAGGAUGAAGUAUUUCGGUAUGUAAACUUCUAUCAGCAGGGAAGAAAGUGACGGUACCUGACUAAGAAGCCCCGGCUAACUACGUG
This 481-nucleotide ribosomal RNA is filed under the name uncultured bacterium. RNAcentral's name for it is "partial 16S ribosomal RNA". It matches the Rfam family "Bacterial small subunit ribosomal RNA", at positions 28 to 507 of the family's 1533-position model. The record is from RNAcentral.